Long non-coding RNA from Coregonus clupeaformis (lake whitefish), 700 nucleotides. RefSeq lists it as uncharacterized. The transcript has 4 exons. The record is from RefSeq and is a predicted model, not a curated record. NCBI's taxonomy places the organism in Eukaryota, Metazoa, Chordata, Actinopteri, Salmoniformes, Salmonidae.
GUCCGUGCUGCCUCGACCCCCAGUGAGUCUCUGGAGGGAGAGGGGGCGUCACGGCACUCCAGGCCCUGAGAGGUGCGCCUCAGCCUGGACACUGAACAUAUCUGCACUGGGGCCAUCAUCCAGCCUGCCUGGGUCCUCACUGAUACAUACUGCCUCCUAGGCCUGGUGGAGCAAACAUUAAACUCACUGUCGUUGGAGAUGGGAGACCCGAAGAACCAGAAGCAUGGUGUGAGGAGACUGGUGCUGACCCCUCACCCAGGACUACGAUGUGGCGCUGCUACAGCUGUGCUCCCCGCUGCUCCUCACUGAGCAUGCCCAGUCCGUCUGUCUGCCCUGCUCGGGACAGGAAGCCCCACCCUCCCAGGUCUGCAUGUUCUCAUUGUGGGAGGGUCAGACAGGUGGACCAUGGAACAGCACUGUUGAGCCGCUAGAGGUAUCACUUUUGAGCCAUGCUGACUGAGCGUUAUUACACUGGUAGACUGACCCCUAGAAUGCUGUGUGCGGGGCCACCACAGCAUCAUAUACAGGACACCUGCACGGUGAGGAACACACAGGACUCAUAGACCCACUGUAAACACAGGAACACAGAGGGGAUGGAUGUGUGGUGCCUAAUACAGUACAACAACAGUGGACCCAACUUUACCCAAGGAUUUGUGUUGUCAUACAUCGCCCUCAGGUGACAAUGUUUGGAACUAGGAUU